UUCUGGUUGAUCCUGCCGGACCUGACUGCUAUCGGAUUGAUACUAAGCCAUGCGAGUCAUUGUAGCAAUACAAGGCAUACGGCUCAGUAACGCGUAGUCAACCUAACCUAUGGACGGGAAUAACCUCGGGAAACUGAGAAUAAUGCCCGAUAGAACAUUAUGCCUGGAAUGGUUUAUGUUCCAAAUGAUUUAUCGCCGUAGGAUGGGACUGCGGCCUAUCAGUUUGUUGGUGAGGUAAUGGCCCACCAAGACUAUUACAGGUACGGGCUCUGAGAGGAGUAGCCCGGAGAUGGGUACUGAGACACGGACCCAGGCCCUAUGGGGCGCAGCAGGCGAGAAAACUUUGCAAUGUGCGAAAGCACGACAAGGUUAAUCCGAGUGGUUUCUGCUAAAGGAACCUUUUGUCAGUCCUAGAAACACUGAUGAAUAAGGGGUGGGCAAGUUCUGGUGUCAGCCG
RNAcentral lists this ribosomal RNA (457 nucleotides) under uncultured marine group I thaumarchaeote. RNAcentral describes it as "bacterial SSU rRNA". It matches the Rfam family "Archaeal small subunit ribosomal RNA", at positions 1 to 464 of the family's 1478-position model. Lineage: Archaea; Thermoproteati; Nitrososphaerota. The record is from RNAcentral.